UACGGAGGGUGCAAGCGUUAUCCGGAUUUACUGGGGUUAAAGGGUGCGUAGGUGGGUCUGUAAGUCCGUGGUGAAAUCUCCGAGCUUAACUCGGAAACUGCCAUUGAUACUAUAGAUCUUGAAUAUCCUGGAGGUGAGCGGAAUAUGUCAUGUAGCGGUGAAAUGCUUAGAUAUGACAUAGAACACCAAUUGCGAAGGCAGCUCACUACUGGAUCAUUGACACUGAGGCACGAAAGCGUGGGGAUCAAACAGG
RNAcentral lists this ribosomal RNA (253 nucleotides) under uncultured bacterium. Its description in RNAcentral is "partial 16S ribosomal RNA". It matches the Rfam family "Bacterial small subunit ribosomal RNA", at positions 524 to 776 of the family's 1533-position model. The record is from RNAcentral.